UGGGGAAUAUUGGACAAUGGGCGAAAGCCUGAUCCAGCCAUGCCGCGUGUGUGAAGAAGGUCUUCGGAUUGUAAAGCACUUUAAGUUGGGAGGAAGGGCAUUAACCUAAUACGUUAGUGUUUUGACGUUACCGACAGAAUAAGCACCGGCUAACUCUGUGCCAGCAGCCGCGGUAAUACAGAGGGGGCAAGCGUUAAUCGGAAUUACUGGGCGUAAAGCGCGCGUAGGUGGUUUGUUAAGUUGGAUGUGAAAUCCCCGGGCUCGACCUGGGAACUGCAUUCAAAACUGACUGACUAGAGUAUGGUAGAGGGUGGUGGAAUUUCCUGUGUAGCGGUGAAAUGCGUAGAUAUAGGAAGGAACACCAGUGGCGAAGGCGACCACCUGGACUAAUACUGACACUGAGGUGCGAAAGCGUGGGGAGCAAACA
This 427-nucleotide ribosomal RNA is filed under the name uncultured bacterium. RNAcentral describes it as "partial 16S ribosomal RNA". It matches the Rfam family "Bacterial small subunit ribosomal RNA", at positions 355 to 774 of the family's 1533-position model. The record is from RNAcentral.